UACGGGGGGGGCAAGCGUUGUUCGGAAUUACUGGGCGUAAAGGGCUCGUAGGUGGCCAACUAAGUCAGACGUGAAAUCCCUCAGCUUAACUGGGGAACUGCGUCUGAUACUGGAUGGCUUGAGUUUGGGAGAGGGAUGCGGAAUUCCAGGUGUAGCGGUGAAAUGCGUAGAUAUCUGGAGGAACACCGGUGGCGAAGGCGGCAUCCUGGACCAUUACUGACACUGAAAAGCGAAAGCCAGGGGAGCAAACGGG
This 253-nucleotide ribosomal RNA is filed under the name uncultured bacterium. Its description in RNAcentral is "partial 16S ribosomal RNA". It matches the Rfam family "Bacterial small subunit ribosomal RNA", at positions 524 to 776 of the family's 1533-position model. The record is from RNAcentral.